UGGGGGCAUUAAAGAUGAAGGGCUGAGAAUGAAGAGGGACCACAUAUAGCGGUGGAAGUGGGGCAGAAGGAUGAGUUGAAAUGGUGGUGCAUGAAUCAAUCAGCAUUUUUGACUGAAAGGGUUGAAAUUUUACUAGUUUGGUUUGAUAAAGGAGCCAAUGUAGCCCCCACAGUCACAUGACAUAUGUCAGAACAAAACUGGAGAUUAGUAAAUUCACUGCAACCUUCAACCUUACCUCCGCCACCGUCGGGACGGGCCGCAAACACACAGAUAGAUCAAGAUAAGGUACGGUGGGCCUCCGAUGCAUAUAUACUUGCCAAAAAAUAAAACAAAGGACAAAACCCUCUACCACUUAACCAAAUAUACGCACAUCAUCAACUUUCUGCUUUCUUUCAUCUUAAACCUCUCACUCAACAUAUUGUUUUAGUUUAAACACCAAUUUUAAAUUUUAUAUUAAAAACUUAUAAAAAUAAUUUUAUAGACAUUCGCUCGCCGACAAUAUGGAAAAUAGUCUGUAAAACAAUAACAAAUCUGUCUAGUGGGAUUCUAUAGAUCAUCGUCACCU
Molecule: long non-coding RNA, 565 nt
Filed under: Vigna radiata
Lineage: Eukaryota; Viridiplantae; Streptophyta; Magnoliopsida; Fabales; Fabaceae
Description: long non-coding RNA (VRAD_LNC007009)
Source: RNAcentral